RNAcentral lists this long non-coding RNA (278 nucleotides) under Phoenix dactylifera (date palm). RNAcentral's name for it is "long non-coding RNA (PDAC_LNC003623)". The record is from RNAcentral. Lineage: Eukaryota; Viridiplantae; Streptophyta; Magnoliopsida; Arecales; Arecaceae.
AAAUAAGUGUUAUCUUUCUCUAGGUUGUCAAUGUUCACCAGCAUUCUUGUUGUGGGGCUCACAUAUGUAGAUUAAUUUUUUAUCAAACCAGAGAUAGAUGCAAGGAUUCAUUUUAUAUGGUAAUACUAAUAUAGGAACUUAUAUUCUUCGCCAUUUAAUCCUUGAUCUUAUAACUCUAAUUUUGAAAGAUAUAAUAUAGUGGAAGAUGAUGCUUCCACUCAUAUCCACAGUGCAUAUAAUUAAGCCAUAGAUAGAUCGGGUAGCGUCAUAAGGUCGAC